This 28-nucleotide non-coding RNA is filed under the name Rattus norvegicus (Norway rat). The record is from RNAcentral. Lineage: Eukaryota; Metazoa; Chordata; Mammalia; Rodentia; Muridae.
UGGUUCUCGACUGUGCUCAGCUAUUUCU